GUCCCCUUCGUCUAGAGGCCUAGGACACCGCCCUUUCACGGCGGUAACAGGGGUUCGACUCCCCUAGGGGACGCCA
RNAcentral lists this transfer RNA (76 nucleotides) under Alteromonas sp. Its description in RNAcentral is "tRNA-Glu". It matches the Rfam family "tRNA". Rfam says of the family: Transfer RNA (tRNA) molecules are approximately 80 nucleotides in length. Their secondary structure includes four short double-helical elements and three loops (D, anti-codon, and T loops). Further hydrogen bonds mediate the characteristic L-shaped molecular structure. tRNAs have two regions of fundamental functional importance: the anti-codon, which is responsible for specific mRNA codon recognition, and the 3' end, to which the tRNAs corresponding amino acid is attached (by aminoacyl-tRNA synthetases). tRNAs cope with the degeneracy of the genetic code in two manners: having more than one tRNA (with a specific anti-codon) for a particular amino acid; and 'wobble' base-pairing, i.e. permitting non-standard base-pairing at the 3rd anti-codon position. RNAcentral also lists the same sequence under 100 other names. The record is from RNAcentral. Lineage: Bacteria; Pseudomonadati; Pseudomonadota; Gammaproteobacteria; Alteromonadales; Alteromonadaceae.